GUUUGAUCAUGGCUCAGAACGUACGCUGGCGGCACGCCUUAUACAUGCAAGUCGAACGAAGUAGCAAUACUUAGUGGCAGACGGGUGAGUAACAUGUAGGUAUCUUCCCUUUGGUGAGGAAUAACACGAGGAAACUUGUGCUAAUACCUCAUAAGUCUUUACAGAGAAAGCUUUAUGCGCCAUUGGAUGAGCCUGCAUUUGAUUAGUUUGUUGGUGGGGUAAUGGCCUACCAAGACUGUGAUCAAUAGCUGUUCUUAGAGGAAGACCAGCCACAUUGGGACUGAGACACGGCCCAGACUCCUACGGGAGGCAGCAGUGGGGAAUCUUGCACAAUGGGGGAAACCCUGAUGCAGCGAUGCCGCGUGAGUGAAGAAGGCCCUUGGGUUGUAAAACUCUUUCGUCGGGGAAGAAAAUGACUGUACCCGAAUAAGAAGGUCCGGCUAACUUCGUGCCAGCAGCCGCGGUAAUACGAAGGGACCUAGCGUAGUUCGGAAUUACUGGGCUUAAAGAGCUCGUAGGUGGUUAAAAAAGUUGAUGGUGAAAUCCCAAGGCUCAACCUUGGAACUGCCAUCAAAACUUUUUAGCUAGAGUGUGAUAGAGGUAAGUGGAAUUUCUAGUGUAGAGGUGAAAUUCGUAGAUAUUAGAAAGAACACCAAAUGCGAAGGCAACUUACUGGGUCACUACUGACACUGAGGAGCGAAAGCAUGGGUAGCGAAGAGGAUUAGAUACCCUCGUAGUCCAUGCCGUAAACGAUGUGUGCUAGACGUUGGAAAUAUAUUUUUCAGUGUCGCAGCGAAAGCAUUAAGCACACCGCCUGGGGAGUACGACCGCAAGGUUAAAACUCAAAUGAAUUGACGGGGACCCGCACAAGCGGUGGAGUAUGUGGUUUAAUUCGAUGCAACGCGAAGAACCUUACCAGGGUUUGACAUCCUGCGAACCUCUUAGAAAUUUGAGGGUGCCUUCGGGAAUGCAGUGACAGGUGGUGCAUGGCUGUCGUCAGCUCGUGUCGUGAGAUGUUGGGUUAAGUCCCGCAACGAGCGCAACCCACGUUUUUAGUUGCCAGCAUUUAGUUGGGCACUCUAGAAAGACCGCCGGUGAUAAACCGGAGGAAGGUGUGGAUGACGUCAAGUCAUCAUGCCCCUUACACCCUGGGCUACACACGUACUACAAUGCUACGGACAAAGGGCAGCAAACUCGCGAGAGCUAGCAAAUCCCAUAAACCGUGGCUCAGUUCAGAUCGUAGGCUGCAACUCGACUGCGUGAAGCUGGAAUCGCUAGUAAUCGGAUAUCAGCCAUGAUCCGGUGAAUACGUUCCCGGGCCUUGUACACACCGCCCGUCAAGCCAUGGAAGCUGGGAGUACCUGAAGUCGGUGACCGCAAGGAGCUGCCUAGGGUAAAACUAGUGACUGGGGCUAAGUCGUAACAAGGUAGCCGUA
This 1436-nucleotide ribosomal RNA is filed under the name uncultured bacterium. RNAcentral's name for it is "partial 16S ribosomal RNA". It matches the Rfam family "Bacterial small subunit ribosomal RNA". The record is from RNAcentral.